Molecule: ribosomal RNA, 495 nt
Filed under: uncultured bacterium
Lineage: Bacteria
Description: partial 16S ribosomal RNA
Rfam family: Bacterial small subunit ribosomal RNA
Source: RNAcentral
UGACCGCUGGCGGCGUGCCUAAUACAUGCACGUCGAGCGAACAGACGAGGAGCUUGCUCCUCUGACGUUAGCGGCGGACGGGUGAGUAACACGUGGAUAACCUACCUAUAAGACUGGGAUAACUUCUGGAAACCGGAGCUAAUACCGGAUAAUAUAUUGAACCGCAUGGUUCAAUAGUGAAAGACGGUUUUGCUGUCACUUAUAGAUGGAUCCGCGCCGCAUUAGCUAGUUGGUAAGGUAACGGCUUACCAAGGCAACGAUGCGUAGCCGACCUGAGAGGGUGAUCGGCCACACUGGAACUGAGACACGGUCCAGACUCCUACGGGAGGCAGCAGUAGGGAAUCUUCCGCAAUGGGCGAAAGCCUGACGGAGCAACGCCGCGUGAGUGAUGAAGGUCUUCGGAUCGUAAAACUCUGUUAUUAGGGAAGAACAAAUGUGUAAGUAACUAUGCACGUCUUGACGGUACCUAAUCAGAAAGCCACGGCUAACUACGUG